This 495-nucleotide ribosomal RNA is filed under the name uncultured bacterium. Its description in RNAcentral is "bacterial SSU rRNA". It matches the Rfam family "Bacterial small subunit ribosomal RNA", at positions 774 to 1261 of the family's 1533-position model. The record is from RNAcentral.
AGGAAAUAGAUACCCGGGUACGUCCACGCCCUAAACUAUAGUCAACUAGUUAGUCGGGUCUUAUUUGGGCUUGGUAAACGUAGCUAAACGCGUGAAAGUUGACCGCCUGGGGAGUACGGUCGCAAGAUUAAAACUCAAAGGAAUUGACGGGGACCCGCACAAGCGGUGGAUUAUGUGGAUUAAUUCGAUGCAACGCGAAAAACCUUACCUACCCUUGACAUGUCAGAAAGUUUCCAGAGAUGGAAUCGUGCUCGAAAGAGAAUUUGAACACAGGUGCUGCAUGGCUGUCGUCAGCUCGUGUCGUGAGAUGUUGGGUUAAGUCCCGCAACGAGCGCAACCCUUGUCAUUAAUUGCCAUCAUUUAGUUGGGCACUUUAAUGAGACUGCCGGUGAUAAACCGGAGGAAGGUGGGGAUGACGUCAAGUCCUCAUGGCCCUUAUGGGUAGGGCUUCACACGUAAUACAAUGGCGCGUACAGAGGGUUGCCAACUCGCGAG